Molecule: transfer-messenger RNA, 300 nt
Filed under: Candidatus Pelagibacter sp.
Lineage: Bacteria; Pseudomonadati; Pseudomonadota; Alphaproteobacteria; Candidatus Pelagibacterales; Candidatus Pelagibacteraceae
Rfam family: Alphaproteobacteria transfer-messenger RNA
About the family: Bacterial tmRNA, also known as 10Sa RNA or SsrA, is named for its dual tRNA and mRNA-like properties. Its role is to liberate the mRNA from a stalled ribosome.
Source: RNAcentral
AAUAAUUGAUUUAAAAAUUGUUAAAUGUAUAAUUAAAAUGUUGAUUUCCAACUAUGACGAUAAACGAAUUUCGUAAUAACCAUUGCGGACGUGGGGGCAGUACCCACCACCUCCACCAUUAAAAAUUAUGGGGGUGAACCAGAUUCGACGGGUGACUAAAGGCUAUUCUUUCGUUCGGGAUUGUUCCACCGUGACGGGCAAAUUUAUAAUUGCUAACGAAAGUUACGCACUUGCUGCCUAAUUAACUGUGUUAAUUAAGUAGACGGGGUCCGGGGCACCUGGCAACAGAACGCCCCUACU